UACGUAGGGUCCGAGCGUUGUCCGGGAUUAUUGGGCGUAAAGGGCUCGUAGGCGGUCUGUUGCGUCGGGAGUGAAAACUUACAGCUUAACUGUGAGCGUGCUUCCGAUACGGGCAGACUUGAGGUAUUCAGGGGAGAACGGAAUUCCUGGUGUAGCGGUGAAAUGCGCAGAUAUCAGGAGGAACACCGGUGGCGAAGGCGGUUCUCUGGGAAUAUCCUGACGCUGAGGAGCGAAAGUGUGGGGAGCGAACAGG
Molecule: ribosomal RNA, 253 nt
Filed under: uncultured bacterium
Lineage: Bacteria
Description: partial 16S ribosomal RNA
Rfam family: Bacterial small subunit ribosomal RNA
Source: RNAcentral